CCUACGGGGGGCUACAGUGGGGAAUAUUGGACAAUGGGGGAACCCUGAUCCAGCCAUGCCGCGUGUGUGAAGAAGGCCCUCGGGUUGUAAAGCACUUUCAGUGAGGAAGAACGCCUGGUGGUUAAUACCCAUCAGGAAAGACAUCACUCACAGAAGAAGCACCGGCUAACUCCGUGCCAGCAGCCGCGGUAAUACGGAGGGUGCGAGCGUUAAUCGGAAUUACUGGGCGUAAAGCGCGCGUAGGUGGCUUGAUAAGCCGGUUGUGAAAGCCCCGGGCUCAACCUGGGAACGGCAUCCGGAACUGUCAAGCUAGAGUGCAGGAGAGGAAGGUAGAAUUCCCGGUGUAGCGGUGAAAUGCGUAGAGAUCGGGAGGAAUACCAGUGGCGAAGGCGGCCUUCUGGACUGACACUGACACUGAGGUGCGAAAGCGUGGGUAGCAAACAGGAUUAGAUACCCCGGUAGUC
This 464-nucleotide ribosomal RNA is filed under the name Vreelandella stevensii. Its description in RNAcentral is "partial 16S ribosomal RNA". It matches the Rfam family "Bacterial small subunit ribosomal RNA", at positions 338 to 795 of the family's 1533-position model. Lineage: Bacteria; Pseudomonadati; Pseudomonadota; Gammaproteobacteria; Oceanospirillales; Halomonadaceae. The record is from RNAcentral.